Prunus mume (Japanese apricot) is the source of this 1560-nucleotide non-coding RNA. Lineage: Eukaryota; Viridiplantae; Streptophyta; Magnoliopsida; Rosales; Rosaceae. The record is from RefSeq and is a predicted model, not a curated record.
CGCAACAAUAGGAAACACUCUUCUCCGCGGGUCUCUCUCAGCCUAAGAAAAACGAAGCACUCUCACUCCUCUUUUCCCUUUGCCGUUGGGUUCCAUUUCCUCUGCAACAAGGAAGCUCUCUUCCAAAUCCAGGCAGAUAUUGGUGAUACCAAAUCAAAAUGUAUAGCUCAGCAGCGAAGCGGCUUCUCCAUCUCUUUGGUACAUCCUUGGGUAGCAGUACCAACCACCGUAUUAUUCGUUACCGCCCUCUUCAAUCCCUCAUUAGUCGUUCUCACUUUUCCACAACUGUGAACUCCGAAUCUUUCGUCAAUCAAAGCCCUAACUUUCCAAACUCCACAUCGUCAACGGCCGAUCAAAUCCCUAAUUUUUCAAAUACCACGUCAUCAACGGCUGAUCACACUAGGAAACCGAGAGCGGAAUACCAAGAUGAGCAAGCUCGUGUGCUCCAAGCCUCACUCCCCCAUGUUAUAAGGUUGGGAUGGAGUGAAGCGGCUAUGAUUGCUGGUGCAAGGGAUGUUGGUUUGUCUCCAUCGAUUGUUGGAUCAUUUCCAAGGAAGGAGGGUAUGCUCGUUGAGUUUUUCAUGGAUGACUGUUUGCAAAGGCUUAGUGAUAUGAUCGACUCUAGUACAGAGGAGUUAAAAAGUUUGAUACCAAGUGAGAGGAUCACAAAGCUUGUGAAGAGUCGCUUGGAAAUGCAGGCACCCUACAUAUCGAAGUGGCCACAAGCUCUUAGCAUCCAGGCACAACCAGUGAAUGUACCCACAAGUUUUAAGCAGAGGGCGAUGCUUAUGGAUGAGAUCUGGCAUGGUGCUGGCGACGACACAGCUGAUUUUCAGUGGUAUGUGAAGCGGACUGUCCUUGGAGGUAUAUACUCCACAACCGAGAUUUACAUGCUUACUGAUAAUUCCCCAGAUUUUUGUGAUACAUGGGCAUUCUUGGAUGAUCGGGUGAAAGAUGCUUUUGACUUGAAGAAAACCGUCCAAGAGGCAACAUACUUGGCAGAAGCUGUUGGUGCUGGGAUGGGGACUUCUUUGCAAGGAUUUGUGAAGAGAGUCUUUCAGGGCUAAGAUAUUACUAAAGAAUUAUAUUGCAAGCAUCAGUCCUCUCUCUGGUCAGUAAUCUUGGAUGAGAUGCUCUGUUACAACUUUACUAAAGAAUUAUAUUGCUAGCUCAAAUUAUUGUAAAUCUUUUCCUUCUCUGCUGAAGCCUGAGUUGAGUUUAGUUGUCUAUUGCAAGAUCCAUUUCUUUGUCAAUUGAAGCUUCAUUUAAGCUCUCAGGGUCCAGUUUUAAGGCUAAAGAUACAGGGGAAGCCAUGACCUAAUCGAUGGCAAAGCUUGUCCAAGAGAACAUCAAAGUUGGCUGAUCGUGGAGUGGCGGUCUGCCGAUGCUACUAGGGGUGGGUUUUAUUAUUAAUUUUAUUGAAAGGGUGAAAUUGGACUUUCAAACUUAUGAUAGUUGACGUGUCGUGUUAUAGAUUUUAAGAUUAUUACAAUGAUUAGGAUUAAGUGAAAUGCAGAAAAAUGCGUAGAUUCUAAAUGUGAGGCUUGGAAUUUGAGUUUA